UGUCAGGUAUUUGAUGUGGUGGAGACCAGCUACAGAGGAGAUGGAUUAAGAUACCUUAUAGACUUCCUGGUUCCUACUAAACACAUCCUGCAGACCAUCCAGCAACAUGCCUGUUUCCCGUACUGUGGCCUGUUAUUCCGUCACCAGGGCUGGCCUCUGUGUCUCCACGACAAGGUGAUCAUCCAGCUCUCUCCUCUGGACCCACGCAUCCUCCGACCCGGGGACUUCUACCUGCAGGUGGCAUCACCCUCUGUCUCCCCCAGCCCCUCCUCCACCCCCAG
Molecule: long non-coding RNA, 281 nt
Organism: Salvelinus namaycush (lake trout)
Lineage: Eukaryota; Metazoa; Chordata; Actinopteri; Salmoniformes; Salmonidae
Exons: 3
Source: RefSeq, a predicted model, not a curated record